Long non-coding RNA from Gorilla gorilla gorilla (western lowland gorilla), 1405 nucleotides. RefSeq lists it as uncharacterized. NCBI's taxonomy places the organism in Eukaryota, Metazoa, Chordata, Mammalia, Primates, Hominidae. The transcript is spliced from 4 exons. The record is from RefSeq and is a predicted model, not a curated record.
GGUGCUUGUCGGGGAGGCUGGGGCCGCACAGGAGCCCAUGGAGUGGGUGGGAGGCUCAGGCAUGGCGGGCUGCAGGUCCCAAGCCCUGCCCCGCGGGAAUGCAGCUAAGGCUUGGUGAGAAAUCGAGCGCAGCGCCGGUGGGCUGGCACUGCUGGGGGACCCAGUACACCCUCCGCAGCCACUGGCCCGGGUGCUAAGUCCCUCAUUGCCCGGGGCCAACAGGGCUGGCCGGCUGCUCUGAGUGCUGGGCCCGCCAAGCCCACGCCCGCCCUCCCGGAACUCCAGCUGGCCCGCCCACCCGGAACUCCAGCUGGCCCGCCCACCCGGAACUGCAGCUGGCCCGCCCACCCGGAACUGCAGCUGGCCCGCAAGCGCCGCAUGCAGCCCGGGUUCCCGCUCGCGCUUCUCCCUCCACACCUCCCUGCAAGCUGAGGGAGCCGGCUCUGGCCUUGGCCAGCCUAGAAAGGGGCUCCCACAGUGCAGUGGUGGGCUGAAGGGCUCCUCAAAUGCCGCCAAAGUGGGAGCCCAGGCAGAGGAGGUGCCAAGAGCAAGGGAGGGCUUUGAGGACUGCCAGCACGCUGUCACCUGUCAUUAUCAGCAACUUCACUAAAAUACCUCUGUGUUUGAAGAGGAAGCCAGAGAAAUUAGAAACAAGAGAAACAUUUGAUGCAUUAUUGCUGACUUGAAGAUGGAGAGAGGUUCCCCUGAGCAUACAGGAGUACUCCAUGAAGACUGCAAUGGCUUCCCUCUCACAAACUGCAUGCACGUCCAGCAGCUCCUGGAGUGUGUCUGUGGGGAAUCUCACUUGCUGGGCCAUCUGCUGGCUGUAGUGGUUGGCUGCCCUCUGCACGGCCGCUGAGUUCUCACACUGGGCCAGAAUUGCCAUUGCAUUCUCCAGACAAGGAGUCGCUCCACUGUUGAUGGCAUCCAGAGACCAUCAAGCUUCAGAAGAUCAUGUGACAAAUGUUCCAGCCAGUUCCAGUUGAAGACACCACCCCUGGCCAUCAAGAAGCUACCCUGCCUCCACUAGACAGAGCAGGGUGAGAGUUCCGUGAUCCCCAAUAGGUAGGGACUUUGCUUCAAGCCAGCAUGAAGCAGUUACAGAAGAAAGACCAUUAGUCACCCCACCUCCCAUAAAGAUUUAUGGGGAUGACAUCUCUCAGGGAGGAAAUGAGGCAGGAAAAUAGGAUCUGGAGGCAUAGAACAUAAGGCCUAUUCACACUUCAGCUAUGCCGGGAAAUAUUAUCUCCAUUUACAUAGGGCAUACACAAAGUAACCAAUGGAAACCUCUAGAGGGUAUUUAAAUCCCCCAAAAUUCUGUAACAGGACCCUUGAGCCCCUAUGCUUGGGCCCACUCCCACACUGUGGAGUGUACUUUCAUUUUCAAUAAAUCUCUGCUUUUGUU